Molecule: small nuclear RNA, 138 nt
Organism: Toxorhynchites rutilus septentrionalis
Lineage: Eukaryota; Metazoa; Arthropoda; Insecta; Diptera; Culicidae
Product: U4 spliceosomal RNA
Exons: 1
Source: RefSeq, a predicted model, not a curated record
AGCUUUGCGCAGUGGCGAUAUCGUAACCAAUGAGGUUCAACCGAGGUGCGAUUAUUGCAGGUUGAAAACUAAUACCAAUAUCCCGCCUUGGGGACGUGGACCGUCCGCAUUGGCAAUUUUUGAACACCCCGAAAGGGG